UUUUUCUGCAAAUAUUUUUUAAAUUGAUUAUAUCCAAAAAACCUAGGAAGAUUUUCUAAAAAAAAAUCACGGUUUAUUAAAGAUUAGAUCUACUUAUUUCAAUUUUAUAUAACUCAGAUGUAAAAUGAGAACUUUUCGUAUACUCAUAUGGAUCCAUAUGAUUGCUUCGAUUAGUAUCGUCCCGUAGUCUCGAAUUAUGAUUAACUUUAUACGUUUUGUCGCUUUACGAAAAGGUGAAAAAAUGUGAAAUUGGAUUUACAAGCUAAAUACCAAUUUUCAAUUAAUACCUUGAUAUAUAUAGGUGCACAUUCUAUUAUCAAUCAAAAGGGUCAUAUCCUACCGAGACCUCGGAUAUGCAUUAUUAUGAUAUUUUGUUUUCUAUUAAAAUAUUAAAUUUUAGUAGAUCAACUUGCCCUUAAAAAUAGACCUCUCAAUACUCCAUUCAGUCCAUAGAAAAUAUUGUACAUAUUCUCCAGUACUAAUAUAACAAACUAUUCAAAAUGAUAUUCCUAUUCUCACCCAAGAAGCUGUUGUCAGCGAAAACAAUUAUGCAUCAAUUCUAACUAUUCAAGAUGAUAUUUCUAUUCUCACCCAAGAAGCUGUUGUCAGUGAAAAUAAUUAUGCAUCAAUUCCAUAUCAAU
Gordionus sp. m RMFG-2023 is the source of this 641-nucleotide long non-coding RNA. RefSeq lists it as uncharacterized. The record is from RefSeq and is a predicted model, not a curated record. The transcript has 4 exons. Lineage: Eukaryota; Metazoa; Nematomorpha; Gordioida; Chordodea; Parachordodidae.